UCGAGCGGCAGCGCGGGGGCAACCCUGGCGGCGAGCGGCGAACGGGUGAGUAAUGCAUCGGAACGUGUCCUCUUGUGGGGGAUAACCAGUCGAAAGAUUGGCUAAUACCGCAUGAGAUCGAGAGAUGAAAGCAGGGGACCGCAAGGCCUUGCGCGAGAGGAGCGGCCGAUGCCGGAUUAGCUAGUUGGUGGGGUAAAAGCCUACCAAGGCGACGAUCCGUAGCUGGUCUGAGAGGACGACCAGCCACACUGGGACUGAGACACGGCCCAGACUCCUACGGGAGGCAGCAGUGGGGAAUUUUGGACAAUGGGGGCAACCCUGAUCCAGCCAUGCCGCGUGUGUGAAGAAGGCCUUCGGGUUGUAAAGCACUUUCGGACGGAACGAAAUCGCGCGAUCUAAUAAGUCGCGUGGAUGACGGUACCGUAAGAAGAAGCACCGGCUAACUACGUGCCAGCAGCCGCGGUAAUACGUAGGGUGCGAGCGUUA
RNAcentral lists this ribosomal RNA (486 nucleotides) under uncultured bacterium. Its description in RNAcentral is "bacterial SSU rRNA". It matches the Rfam family "Bacterial small subunit ribosomal RNA", at positions 62 to 543 of the family's 1533-position model. The record is from RNAcentral.